Molecule: ribosomal RNA, 447 nt
Filed under: uncultured bacterium
Lineage: Bacteria
Description: bacterial SSU rRNA
Rfam family: Bacterial small subunit ribosomal RNA
Source: RNAcentral
GCCAGACUCCUACGGGAGGCAGCAGUGGGGAAUAUUGCACAAUGGGCGAAAGCCUGAUGCAGCGACGCCGCGUGAGUGAAGAAGUAUUUCGGUAUGUAAAGCUCUAUCAGCAGGGAAGAAAAUGACGGUACCUGACUAAGAAGCCCCGGCUAACUACGUGCCAGCAGCCGCGGUAAUACGUAGGGGGCAAGCGUUAUCCGGAUUUACUGGGUGUAAAGGGAGUGUAGGUGGCAUAACAAGUCAGAAGUGAAAGCCCGGGGCUCAACCGCGGGACUGCUUUUGAAACUGUGCAGCUAGAGUGCAGGAGAGGUAAGUGGAAUUCCUAGUGUAGCGGUGAAAUGCGUAGAUAUUAGGAGGAACACCAGUGGCGAAGGCGGCUUACUGGACUGUAACUGACGUUGAGGCUCGAAAGCGUGGGGAGCAAACAGGAUUAGAUACCCGCGUAGG